CCCUCACAAUGUAGCUGAUAACCAGUGAAAUAGUCCUCAACCAACGACCCAUAUCGAAAUCCGAUCUUGUAGCCCCAGCUAGUUUUGUUCUCAUAAUUGCAUCCUGCCACACGAUAAGCCAAUGCCAAGACUUCUGGGGACUGUAUGGACUUAUCUAUCACAUGAAGUGGGCUCAACUCAGGGAUUUCUGGUGAAACAAAACUAGAAGGGCCACCAAAGAAUGCUCUCCUGGAGAAGAAGCAAUUGGUCCCAGCAU
RNAcentral lists this unclassified non-coding RNA (256 nucleotides) under Hevea brasiliensis (rubber tree). The record is from RNAcentral. Lineage: Eukaryota; Viridiplantae; Streptophyta; Magnoliopsida; Malpighiales; Euphorbiaceae.